CAAGUGCCCCUGGUGCAGAUCUUGGUGGUAGUAGAAAAUAUUCAAAUGAGAACUUUGAAGAGUGAAGUGGGGAAAUGUUCCAUGUGAACAUCACUUGGACAUGGGUUAAUCGAUCCUAAGAGAUGGGGAAUCCUUGUAUCAAGGGUGCAAUCUGCAUGAACGUUGAAAGAGAAUUGGGUUAAUAUUCCCGAACCGGGACAUGGUGGUGGACGACAAUGUUAGGAAAUAUGGAGAUGUCAUCGGGGGCCUGGGAAGAGUUAUCUUUUCUUUUUAACAACUUUCCCACCCUGAAAUUGGUUCAACCAGAGAUAGGGUCCAACAUAUGAAAGAGAACCGCACGUCUUGCGGUGUUUGGUGCCUCCUUAGCAGCCUUCGAAAAUAUGGAGAACCAAGUACUAUCCAUGCCUGAUCGUACUCAUAUCUACCUCCCUAGAUUUUUCAAUGUCCACUAGGU
Picea glauca (white spruce) is the source of this 454-nucleotide non-coding RNA. NCBI's taxonomy places the organism in Eukaryota, Viridiplantae, Streptophyta, Pinopsida, Pinales, Pinaceae. The record is from Rfam.